Molecule: unclassified non-coding RNA, 143 nt
Filed under: uncultured Ascomycota
Lineage: Eukaryota; Fungi; Ascomycota
Description: sequence contains ITS1
Source: RNAcentral
UCAAUGUAACAGCGGACUUCGGUCCUGUCUGCCACCCUUGUCUUUUGCGUACUGUCUGUUUCCUCGGUAGGCCUGCCUACCGAUAGGACACUAUAAAACCUUUUUUGCAAUUGCAAUCAGCGUCAGAAAAACUAUAAUAGUUA